RNAcentral lists this ribosomal RNA (460 nucleotides) under uncultured bacterium. Its description in RNAcentral is "partial 16S ribosomal RNA". It matches the Rfam family "Bacterial small subunit ribosomal RNA", at positions 338 to 795 of the family's 1533-position model. The record is from RNAcentral.
CCUACGGGAGGCAGCAGUGAGGAAUAUUGGUCAAUGGACGAGAGUCUGAACCAGCCAAGUCGCGUGAAGGAUGACUGCCCUAUGUAUUGUAAACUUCUUUUAUCAAGGAAUAAAACGAGGCACGUGUGCCUUUUUGCAUGUACUUUAUGAAAAAGGAUCGGCUAACUCCGUGCCAGCAGCCGCGGUAAUACGGAGGAUCCGAGCGUUAUCCGGAUUUAUUGGGUUUAAAGGGAGCGUAGAUGGGUUUUUAAGUCAGUUGUGAAAGUUCGCGGCUCAACCGUAAGAUUGCAAUUGAUACUGGCAGUCUUGAGUACAGGUGAGGUAGGCGGAAUGCGUGGUGUAGCGGUGAAAUGCUUAGAUAUCACGAAGAACCCCGAUUGCGAAGGCAGCUUACUAACCUGUGACUGACAUUGAGGCUCGAAAGUGUGGGUAUCAAACAGGAUUAGAUACCCGUGUAGUC